Molecule: ribosomal RNA, 495 nt
Filed under: Pestalotiopsis disseminata
Lineage: Eukaryota; Fungi; Ascomycota; Sordariomycetes; Amphisphaeriales; Sporocadaceae
Description: eukaryotic LSU rRNA
Rfam family: Eukaryotic large subunit ribosomal RNA
Source: RNAcentral
UUGACCUCGGAUCAGGUAGGAAUACCCGCUGAACUUAAGCAUAUCAAUAAGCGGAGGAAAAGAAACCAACAGGGAUUGCCUUAGUAACGGCGAGUGAAGCGGCAACAGCUCAAAUUUGAAAUCUGGCCCUCGGGUCCGAAUUGUAAUUUGUAGAGGAUGAUUUUGGUGCGGUAUCUUCCGAGUUCCUUGGAACAGGACGCCUUAGAGGGUGAGAGCCCCGUACGGUUGAAUGCCUAGCCUCUGUAAAUCUCCUUCGACGAGUCGAGUAGUUUGGGAAUGCUGCUCUAAAUGGGAGGUAAAUUUCUUCUAAAGCUAAAUAUUGGCCAGAGACCGAUAGCGCACAAGUAGAGUGAUCGAAAGAUGAAAAGCACUUUGAAAAGAGGGUUAAAUAGCACGUGAAAUUGUUGAAAGGGAAGGAUUUGUGACCAGACUUUUUCUGGGCGGAUCAUCCGGGGUUCUCUCCGGUGCACUUUGCCCAGUAAAGGCCAGCAUCGA